AGCUUGCUUCUCUGAUGUUAGCGGCGGACGGGUGAGUAACACGUGGAUAACCUACCUAUAAGACUGGGAUAACUUCGGGAAACCGGAGCUAAUACCGGAUAAUAUUUUGAACCGCAUGGUUCAAAAGUGAAAGACGGUCUUGCUGUCACUUAUAGAUGGAUCCGCGUUGCAUUAGCUGGUUGGUAAGGUAACGGCUUACCAAGGCAACGAUGCAUAGCCGACCUGAGAGGGUGAUCGGCCACACUGGAACUGAGACACGGUCCAGACUCCUACGGGAGGCAGCAGUAGGGAAUCUUCCGCAAUGGGCGAAAGCCUGACGGAGCAACGCCGCGUGAGUGAUGAAGGUCUUCGGAUCGUAAAACUCUGUUAUUAGGGAAGAACAUAUGUGUAAGUAACUGUGCACAUCUUGACGGUACCUAAUCAGAAAGCCACGGCUAACUACGUGCCAGCAGCCGCGGUAAUACGUAGGUGGCAAGCGUUAUCCGGAAUUAUUGGGCGUAAAGCGCGCGUAGGCGGUUUUUUAAGUCUGAUGUGAAAGCCCACGGCUCAACCGUGGAGGGUCAUUGGAAACUGGAAAACUUGAGUGCAGAAGAGGAAAGUGGAAUUCCAUGUGUAGCGGUGAAAUGCGCAGAGAUAUGGAGGAACACCAGUGGCGAAGGCGACUUUCUGGUCUGUAACUGACGCUGAUGUGCGAAAGCGUGGGGAUCAAACAGGAUUAGAUACCCUGGUAGUCCACGCCGUAAACGAUGAGUGCUAAGUGUUAGGGGGUUUCCGCCCCUUAGUGCUGCA
Molecule: ribosomal RNA, 789 nt
Filed under: uncultured Staphylococcus sp.
Lineage: Bacteria; Bacillati; Bacillota; Bacilli; Caryophanales; Staphylococcaceae
Description: bacterial SSU rRNA
Rfam family: Bacterial small subunit ribosomal RNA
Source: RNAcentral